This 236-nucleotide ribosomal RNA is filed under the name uncultured Staphylococcus sp. Its description in RNAcentral is "partial 16S ribosomal RNA". It matches the Rfam family "Bacterial small subunit ribosomal RNA", at positions 104 to 334 of the family's 1533-position model. Lineage: Bacteria; Bacillati; Bacillota; Bacilli; Caryophanales; Staphylococcaceae. The record is from RNAcentral.
GGGUGAGUAACACGUGGAUAACCUACCUAUAAGACUGGGAUAACUUCGGUAAACCGUAGCUAAUACCGGAUAAUAUAUUGAACCGCAUGGUUCAAUAGUGAAAGACGGUUUUGCUGUCACUUAUAGAUGGAUCCGCGCCGCAUUAGCUAGUUGGUAAGGUAACGGCUUACCAAGGCAACGAUGCGUAGCCGACCUGAGAGGGUGAUCGGCCACACUGGAACUGAGACACGGUCCAG